CUGUCACACGAGCACGUAUUUGCGGCAAUGGGACGUGAGCAUUGAACUCACUGAUUCACAGUACGAGCAUCUAAACGUUAGACCUGUAGGAUAUCUAAAAGGUUUUCGAAGUUCCUUUCAAAGCGUUGAGAAAGUCAAAACACAUUACAGAGAAGUCAGGUUUUGAAAUUUCCUUUUGUUGAAAUAUGUCACGACGAAGAAACAGAAAGGUGCUGAUAAGAAUAGAUGAAAAAACUGUUGUUGUUUAUUCAUCAGCUGGAUAUGGAAUCUUGUAUAAAAACGGCAAGAGGGUUAGUUGUAUAAUCACAUCGAAGUUCAUUCUCUUCUUCUUCAUCUUCGCUGUAAUAUGGGUGACAGUGGGAUACAUAUGUUUGGCGUUGAAUUUUGCAGUGAACAUGCCUUCAGACAGAGAUGGAAAUCCUAUGUUAAUAAAUGGAAUAAUUGCACUGAUGGUUGGCUAUAUCUUCGCUGCUAUAGGGACUGCGAUAUUUUACAUUACGUGGAGAAAGUCGAAACGUGUAGGUCAACAGCAGUAUUCGAGUGAAGCUCCAUCUACCGUCGAUUUUUCUCUAUUGGAUGCAGUCCGACUAACACAGACCUUGUCCCACAGAUAAAUAAGAAAUUGUCUCAUAUCAUAUUAGUUUUAUUUUCAGGACUAUGAACUUUACCUUAUCUUAUCUGGUAUCCAUCUGACUUUCCUUAGAAUUAUUUUUAGCAGCACUAUUAAACACCAGAUAGCAAUAGUACUUUCUUUACUGCUAACAACUUUUUCGAAGUAAUCGUGAUUACAACAGGAAUUAA
Limulus polyphemus (Atlantic horseshoe crab) is the source of this 801-nucleotide long non-coding RNA. RefSeq lists it as uncharacterized. The record is from RefSeq and is a predicted model, not a curated record. The transcript is spliced from 3 exons. Lineage: Eukaryota; Metazoa; Arthropoda; Merostomata; Xiphosura; Limulidae.